UACUAUGUUACGACUUAUCUCAUCUUAAUAACGAGAGUGACGGGCGAUGUGUACACAUUUUAGAGCCAUAAUCACAAAAAUAAUUCUUAUUAUUAAUUACUAUUAAAUCCACCUUCAUAAAACAAUUUCAAACCUUAAUUCGUCUACCUUAUAAAUAAUGUAAUCCAUCACCACUUAAUAAUAAACUGCACCUUGACCUGUAAUAAAAUUAAUUAUAAUUUUAAGAAAAUUAUCUCUAAAAAGAUUUUCACUAAAUAAACGGCGGUAUACAUAUUAAAUUAUAUUAAGUAAGGUUCAACGUGGAUUAUCGAUAAUGGAACAGAUUCCUCUAACUAGACUAAAAUACCGCCAAAUUCUUUAAGUUUCAAGACCAUAUCUAAUACUACUCAAGUUUAAAACUUUAAAUCCAAAAUAAUAGGGUAUCUAAUCCUAGUUU
This 436-nucleotide ribosomal RNA is filed under the name Macropanesthia rhinoceros. RNAcentral describes it as "12S rRNA". Lineage: Eukaryota; Metazoa; Arthropoda; Insecta; Blattodea; Blaberidae. The record is from RNAcentral.